AUACAGAGGGGGCAAGCGUUAUUCGGAAUUAUUGGGCGUAAAGGGCGCGUAGGCGGUUUUUUAAGUCAGAUGUGUAAUCCCCGAGCUCAACUUGGGAACUGCAUCUGAGACUGGAAGGCUAGAGUACUGGAGAGGGUGGUAGAAUUCCACGUGUAGCGGUGAAAUGCGUAGAGAUGUGGAGGAAUACCAGUGGCGAAGACGGCCACCUGGACAGUAACUGACGCUGAGGCGCGAAAGUGUGGGUAGC
This 247-nucleotide ribosomal RNA is filed under the name uncultured bacterium. Its description in RNAcentral is "partial 16S ribosomal RNA". It matches the Rfam family "Bacterial small subunit ribosomal RNA", at positions 523 to 769 of the family's 1533-position model. The record is from RNAcentral.